GGAGAACCAGUCUAGUAUAGCUACAUUAGAGAGGAGGAGGAGGGAGAACCAGUCUAGUAUAGCUACAUUAGAGAGGAGGAGGAGGGAGUACCAGUCUAGUACAGCUACAUUAAAGAGGAGGAGGAGGGAGAACCAGUCUAUGAUAGAUAUAUUAGAGAGGAGGUGGACGGAGAACCAGUCUAGUAUAGCUACAUUAGAGAGGAGGAGGAAGGACCAUUCUAGUACAGCUACAUUAGAGAGGAGGAGGAGAGAGAACCAGUCUAGUACAGCUACAUUAGGGAGGAGGAGGGAGGACCAUUCUAGUACAGCUACAUUAGAGUGGAGGAGGAGAGAGAACCAGUCUAGUACAGCUACAUUAGGGUGGCGGAGGACGGAGAACCAGUCUAGUACAGCUCCGUUAAAGAGGAGGGAGAUCCAGUCUAGUAUAGCUACAUUAGAGAGGAGGAGGGAAAACCAGUCUAGUAAUGCUACAUUAAAGAGGAGGAGGAGGGAAAACCAGUCUAGUAUAAAUACAUUAGAGAGGAGGAGGAGGGAGAACCAGUCUAGUAUAAAUACAUUAGAGAGGAGGAGGAGGGAGAACCAGUCUAGUAUAAAUACAUUAGAGAGGUGGAGGAGGGAGAACCAGUCUAGUACAGCUCUAUUAAAGAGGAGGGAGAUCCAUUCUAGUAUAGCUACAUUAGAGAGGAGGAGGGAGAACCAGUCUAGUAAAGCUACAUUAAAGAGUAGGAGGAGGGAGAACCAGUCUAUGAUAGAUACAUUAGAGAGGAGGAGGAGGGAGAACCAGUCUAGUAUAGCUACAUUAGAGAGGAGGAGGAGGGAGAACCAGUCUAGUACAGCUACAUUAGAGAGGAGGAGGAGGGAGAACCAGUCAAGCAUGUAUACAUUAGAGAGGAGGAGGGAAAACCAGUCUAGUACAGCUACAUUAGAGAGGAGGAAGAGGGAGAACCAGUGGAGUAUAGGUACAUUAGAGAGGAGGGAGAACCAGUCUAGUAUAGUUACAUUAGAGAGGAGGAGGGAGAACCAGUCUAGUAUAGAUACAUUAGAGAGGAGGAGGAGGGAGACCAUUCUAGUAUAGAUACAUUAGAGAGGAGGAGGAGGGAGAACCAGUCUAGUAUAGCUACAUUAAAGAGGAUGAGGAGGGAGAACCAGUCUAUGAUAGAUACAUUAGAGAGGAGGAGGAGGGACAACCAGUCUAGUAUAGAUACAUUAUUGAGAAUAGGAGAAGGGAAAACCAGUAUAGUAUAGAUACAUUAGAGAGGAGGACGGAAAACCAGUCUAGUACAGCUACAUUAGAGAGGCGGGGGAGAGAGAACCUGUCUAGUACAGCUCCAUUAAAGAUGAGCGAGAUCCAGUCUAGUAUAGCUAUAUUAGAGAGGAGGAUGGAGAACCAGUCAUGUACAGCUACAUUAAAGAGGAGGAGGGAGAACCAGUCUAGUAUAGCUACAUUAGAGAGGAGGAGGAGGGAGAACCAGUCUAGUAUAGCUACAUUAGAGAGGAGGAGGGAGAACCAGUCUAGUACAGCUACAUUAAAGAGGAGGAGGGAGAACCAGUCUAGUAUAGAUACAUUAGAGAAGAGGAGGAGCGAGAACCAGUCUAGUAUAGCUACAUUAGAGAUGAGGAGGAGGGAGUACCAGUCUAGUAAAGCUACAUUAAAGAGGAGGAGGAGGGAGAACCGGUCUAGUAUAGAUACAUUAGAGAGGAG
Molecule: long non-coding RNA, 1702 nt
Organism: Oncorhynchus tshawytscha (Chinook salmon)
Lineage: Eukaryota; Metazoa; Chordata; Actinopteri; Salmoniformes; Salmonidae
Source: Ensembl